This is a long non-coding RNA of Schistocerca nitens (vagrant locust), 381 nucleotides long. RefSeq lists it as uncharacterized. NCBI's taxonomy places the organism in Eukaryota, Metazoa, Arthropoda, Insecta, Orthoptera, Acrididae. The record is from RefSeq and is a predicted model, not a curated record. The transcript is spliced from 3 exons.
CAGCAAUCAUCGCUGACAUACUGGUUGAGUUGGACCGCCGACAGGAGGCGGAGAGACCACUGCACCAGCCUCCACCAGCAAUAAACUAGUCGGGAGAUUCUAUGGUGGGUGAAGAAGAAGAAGAAGAAGGUUUAAGUGUCGAGGUUGAAAUUCAGAAACCAUCGAUUCAGUCUUGCAACGUCAGCGAGCUACAUAGAUGGCUCGAAGGAGGGGGCGAAAUACUGAAGUGUGUACAUGAGAUGGUGGCUGCUGAGGAUGCUGAAAGGCAGCGCCAUCUCGCCCUUUUGGGUGAGGAGGAAAUACUGGACUGGGUGGAGGAACUACCAGAAAGCCCAACUGAACUGUUCAAGCCUGGAACCCAGAGUGUAAAAGGCAACCGUC